Molecule: long non-coding RNA, 1187 nt
Organism: Oncorhynchus tshawytscha (Chinook salmon)
Lineage: Eukaryota; Metazoa; Chordata; Actinopteri; Salmoniformes; Salmonidae
Source: Ensembl
CUCAUAGCGCUCUCUGGAAUAAGCGCUUGUUUCAAAUAUGUUUAAGUUAACCUCAUUAUUCUUUGCUCGUAUCGUCGUAUUCCACCCGAUCGAGUUCUCAUCACAUCACACCAGAAACAUGGUAUGCUGUCAUUUGACUUUACAACGUUUAUUUUAGAUUCAUUACAGGGCUCCGGAGUGGCGCCUCGGUGCAAGAGGCGUCCCUACAGUCCCUGGUUCGAAUACAGGCUGUAUGACAUCCGGCCGUGAUUGGGAGUCCCAUAGGGCGGCGCACAAUUGGCCCAGCGUCGUCCGGGGUUUUACGGUCAUUGUAAAUAAGAAUUUGGUUAAAUACAAUUACUCAAAAUGACGGCGCCGAAGCAGACACGACUUUUCACAGGGAAAUAGGCUAAUGUUGGUUGAUGAUUCGGACACGCACUUUGAAAAGCGAUGAUGUCGAGAGGUCAAGGCCAAUGGACAGCUUUGUAAAGGAUAUGCUGACUGAGUGUAACCUGGCCUUUUUGAUUCCGAAGUUUGAGGAUUGUUCGGGACUUCUCUAUUUGAACCCCGGACUGCUCGGUGAACCUCACUGAACUGGAUCGGGGUCUUCAAGGACCAAAAACUUUGCUUUGCCAGCUGACGAGCAGGCCCAAGAUCUUCUCUUCAAAGUGCAGAUGCACAAGGUGACAUCGUUUUAAGACUUCUGCCAGUGGUCCUCCCACACCAGUCUACAAGAUUGGCAGGAAGACAUUCCGACCCAGCUUCUAAGAGACCAGAAAGUCCUUCAUUGACUUGCAGCCUGUAAAUUUAAAUAGUCGAUAGGGAGAUGGAUGGGGAAAUUAGAUUAUAGCGUUUGUAAGCCUUGAAUGAACAGAACACCAUUCCAAUAUCUGUUAUGCAGAACGGCACACUCCAAGACAUUGUUGUGUAAAUUAACCUAUAGAUACUGUAGGCAGGCCCCUGAGUAUGGUACAGCCCAUUGCGCAUAUGUUAAAUUGCCUACUUAUAACAUGACAACGGCUGUAUUCAUUUUUACAUUUUUAUUAAUUCUAUAAACAUUUUGUAUGUGCUUGGUUGGUCACUUUUAACAUACUUCCAUGGUGUCUUAAUUAAAUACACUUUCAUCUAAAUGUAAAAUGUUAGCAUGAACAGAUACACUGUCGCAUGGAAGGUACGUCAUGAUUAUCAGCCGAAAAGACGAUUCCAAC